UACCAGUUAAUUCUAAUGUUAAUACAAAAUUGAAAGUAAACUGAAAGGGGAAUUUAGGGUUACGUGUUGUGGCUCUUGGAAUUUCUCUGAAGCUUCCUCCUCCCUUCCUUCAAUCGUGAGCGGCGCCGGUGAGACGCAACUUCACCUUUUUCGAUCAAGAUCUCAAAUCGCGCUGUGAGAACGGGACAACUUCGUCCCUCAUCCUCCCUUGUCCAAUUGCCUCAGUGCUCUCUCGAACUCAGCACACUCUCAAACUCCCUCACCUCCUCUCGAUUCAAAAUCGCGGCGAUCACCACCGCAAACAUCUCUUCGCUCAAAUCGUCUCCCUCAGAAUCUCAUCUCUCAGUUAUCUCCUGUCGGAGAAGUUUCGGUGACUCUUCCGAGGUGACGCAGAUGAAUAAAACUUCAGAAAGUAUCAACGUGAAAUCCUGGUGAAGGUAUACCAAAAGUGAUGAUCAAAGCGGUGGAAUUGUCCUUAAAGAUUAAUGAAGAUGCGCAGAGUUUGGCAAGAUGAUGAACAGCGAUGGUGAUGAUUAUUGUGGAUAAAGGUCGAUAUGGUUUAUGGUGAUUUUCUGGUUUUCUUUUGGAGGAUUUGUGGAAGGUUGUUAGAGAUGAAGAUGAAUUGAAGAAUUGUUUCCAGAGAUGAAGAUUCAAGAGGUUUUGCUGUUAGGUCGUGAAGAUUGAAAGGAGCGAUUGAAGAUGAUGAAACUGAUGAUUGAAACGUUGAGAAGAAGAUCCAGAAAGAGAAAUUUCUGUUGAAGAGUUUGUUCCAUUUUCUCUGGUGAUUCUGUUAUGAAUUCUCCUUUUGUGAAUGAUUGAAUUGGUGUUUGAGGUUUCUUGUGAAGCUUUUCUGAGUUUUUUCUAUUGUGACUCUCAUUCUGAUAUCGAUUUUUCUCUGCUGAUUUUUUGUUGUGAAGAGUUUUUGUGAACCGGGUUUUUUUUCACAUAUCUCUACUUGCAGGUUUGGUUUUGGUGAAGUUGUUGCCUUGCAGUUUGGUUCAGAGGCUUGAGUGUGCUGCGGAUUUGUUUCAGUUUUGAUGCAGGAAUUUUUUCUAUGUGAUGUUAUUUUGUAUAUUGUAAUGGAUAGUAUAUUUUGUAAUGAACAUGAACUUUUGUAUAAUAUGGAUAUGGAUAUUGAAUAUUUGGAACUUAUUUCUUUGAUAAA
This is a long non-coding RNA of Vicia villosa (hairy vetch), 1165 nucleotides long. RefSeq lists it as uncharacterized. The record is from RefSeq and is a predicted model, not a curated record. The transcript is spliced from 2 exons. NCBI's taxonomy places the organism in Eukaryota, Viridiplantae, Streptophyta, Magnoliopsida, Fabales, Fabaceae.